Molecule: ribosomal RNA, 301 nt
Filed under: uncultured bacterium
Lineage: Bacteria
Description: partial 16S ribosomal RNA
Rfam family: Bacterial small subunit ribosomal RNA
Source: RNAcentral
CAGCCGCCGCGGUAACACGUAGGUGGCAAGCGUUGUCCGGAAUUAUUGGGCGUAAAGGGCUCGCAGGCGGUUUCUUAAGUCUGAUGUGAAAGCCCCCGGCUCAACCGGGGAGGGUCAUUGGAAACUGGGAAACUUGAGUGCAGAAGAGGAGAGUGGAAUUCCACGUGUAGCGGUGAAAUGCGUAGAGAUGUGGAGGAACACCAGUGGCGAAGGCGACUCUCUGGUCUGUAACUGACGCUGAGGAGCUAAAGCGUGGGGGGCGAACAGGAUUAGAUACCCGAGUAGUCCCUGUCUCUUAUAC